RNAcentral lists this ribosomal RNA (441 nucleotides) under uncultured bacterium. RNAcentral's name for it is "partial 16S ribosomal RNA". It matches the Rfam family "Bacterial small subunit ribosomal RNA", at positions 338 to 795 of the family's 1533-position model. The record is from RNAcentral.
CCUACGGGAGGCAGCAGUGGGGGAUAUUGCACAAUGGGGGGAACCCUGAUGCAGCGACGCCGCGUGGGUGAAGGAGUGCUUCGGCAUGUAAAGCCCUAUCGGCAGGGAAGAAGCAAGACGGUACCUGACUAAGAAGCGCCGGCUAACUACGUGCCAGCAGCCGCGGUAAGACGUAGGGGGCGAGCGUUAUCCGGAUUCACUGGGUGUAAAGGGAGCGUAGACGGCCAUGCAAGCCAGGGGUGAAAGCCCGGGGCCCAACCCCGGGACUGCCCUUGGAACUGCCUGGCUGGAGUGCGGGAGGGGCAGGCGGAAUUCCUGGUGUAGCGGUGAAAUGCGUAGAUAUCAGGAGGAACACCGGCGGCGAAGGCGGCAUGCUGGACCGCGACUGACGUUGAGGCUCGAAAGCGUGGGGAGCGAACAGGAUUAGAUACCCCAGUAGUC